RNAcentral lists this ribosomal RNA (305 nucleotides) under uncultured bacterium. RNAcentral's name for it is "partial 16S ribosomal RNA". It matches the Rfam family "Bacterial small subunit ribosomal RNA", at positions 508 to 808 of the family's 1533-position model. The record is from RNAcentral.
ACAGCAGCCGCCGCGGUAAUACGUAGGUGGCAAGCGUUGUCCGGAAUUAUUGGGCGUAAAGCGCGCGCAGGCGGUUUCUUAAGUCUGAUGUGAAAGCCCCCGGCUUAACCGGGGAGGGUCAUUGGGAACUGGGAGACUUAGAGUGCAGAAGAGGAGAGUGGAAUUCCAUGUGUAGCGGUGAAAUGCGUAGAUAUAUGGAGGAACACCAGUGGCGAAGGCGACUCUCUGGUCUGUAACUGACGCUGAGGCGCGAAAGCGUGGGGAGCAAACAGGAUUAGAUACCCGCGUAGUCCCUGUCUCUUAUA